GGAGGUUGAUCAUGGCUCAGAAUCAACGCUGGCGGCGUGCCUCAGACAUGCAAGUCGAACGCGAAAGUUUCCUUCGGGAGGCGAGUAGAGUGGCGCACGGGUGAGUAACACGUAGGUAAUCUACCUUUGGGUGGGGAAUAACAGCCGGAAACGGCUGCUAAUACCGCAUAAUGCAGCGGCUCGACAUCGAGACAGUUGUUAAAGCGGGGGCUUCGCAAGAACCUCGCGCCUAAAGAGGAGCCUGCGGCGGAUUAGCUAGUUGGUGAGGUAAUGGCUCACCAAGGCAUCGAUCCGUAGCCGGCCUGAGAGGGCGGUCGGCCACACUGACACUGACAUACGGGUCAGACUCCUACGGGAGGCAGCAGUCGGGAAUUUUGGGCAAUGGGCGCAAGCCUGACCCAGCAACGCCGCGUGAAGGAUGAAAUCCCUCGGGAUGUAAACUUCGCAAGAACAGGAAGAAUAAGUGGGGGACAAUACCCCCCAUGAUGACGGUACUGUUUGUAAGCUCCGGCUAACUCCGUGCCAGCAGCCGCGGUAAUACGGGGGGAGCAAGCGUUGUUCGGAUUUACUGGGCGUAAAGGGCGCGUAGGCGGUCGUGACAAGUCACUUGUGAAAUCUCCGGGCUUAACUCGGAAAGGUCAAGUGAUACUGUCGGACUAGAGUGCAGAAGGGGCAACUGGAAUUCUCGGUGUAGCGGUGAAAUGCGUAAAUAUCGAGAGGA
Molecule: ribosomal RNA, 721 nt
Filed under: uncultured bacterium
Lineage: Bacteria
Description: bacterial SSU rRNA
Rfam family: Bacterial small subunit ribosomal RNA
Source: RNAcentral